GACGAACGCUGGCGGCGUGCCUAAUACAUGCAAGUAGAACGCACAGUUUAUACCGUAGCUUGCUACACCAUAGACUGUGAGUUGCGAACGGGUGAGUAACGCGUAGGUAACCUGCCUGGUAGCGGGGGAUAACUAUUGGAAACGAUAGCUAAUACCGCAUAAUAUUGAUUAUUGCAUGAUAAUUGAUUGAAAGAUGCUAUUGCAUCACUACCAGAUGGACCUGCGUUGUAUUAGCUAGUAGGUGAGGUAACGGCUCACCUAGGCGACGAUACAUAGCCGACCUGGGAGGGUGAUCGGCCACACUGGGACUGAGACACGGCCCAGACUCCUACGGGAGGCAGCAGUAGGGAAUCUUCGGCAAUGGACGAAAGUCUGACCGAGCAACGCCGCGUGAGUGAAGAAGGUUUUCGGAUCGUAAAGCUCUGUUGUAAGAGAAGAACGGGUGUGAGAGUGGAAAGUUCACACUGUGACGGUAUCUUAACAGAAAGGGACGGCUAACUACGUG
This 505-nucleotide ribosomal RNA is filed under the name uncultured bacterium. RNAcentral describes it as "partial 16S ribosomal RNA". It matches the Rfam family "Bacterial small subunit ribosomal RNA", at positions 28 to 507 of the family's 1533-position model. The record is from RNAcentral.